CAGACCAAACGACGCAACCCCCCAUCCCUAAAUUGUCUGAAGAACAAAAAAAACCUUCCCUCUUUACAACAAGAAAAUUCCAUCCCAAGCAAAAAUAGUGACCUCCCUUCCUUCUAUUCUAUCGCUCAACAGAAUAGAGCACACACACAUAAAAAAAUACACACACACAUAAAAUCAUUCAGCGACAAACAAAAAGCAAGAAGAAAAUUUGAAGUUCCAAAAGUUUGGAAAGCUGAAAAUGAUAAAAGAGAUUUGAAAAAAAAAUGGAAGAAAAAUCGGAGAAUAGUGAAUUUCUAAGGCUCUGCUGAUUUCCGUGGCGUUAUCUCCUUAAUUUCUGGGUUUUCGAGUUUAUUUCAAAAUCGGAAUUUGAAGCUGCAUGUUGUUGAUUCUACUGUUGCCGAGCUCCAAUUUUUGUUUUCCUUGCCUUAACUUGUCUCAAUCUAGCCAUUUCCUACACCUAGCAGGUAUUUUUGCUGCUUGAUGCUGUUAAAAUUGAUUGGCUAGGAAGAAGGUUGAAUACUCUUCAAUCUUAUUUAUUUAAACUGGCAUGUGUAAAUAAUCAUGUGGUGUGGCUUCACUGUCCAUGCAAUGAUGUUUACUAUCCUUGAGUUCGUGCAAACGAAUUUGUUAAUAUCUGAUAGAGUUGUGUUUGACUAGAAGAGGGAAGUCUGAGUACCUCUUGACAGAAUUUUACUCCAGCUGAUUUAUGGCUGCUGGUGCUCUUAUGUGCUUGAUUUUGUGCUUUUCUAUGUAAUUACCAGAGUAGUUUGGGACUCGAAAAUCAAUUAUUGUCAUAUGUGCUUAAGUGCGUGACCUAAGCUUUUGGUUCCAUGUAUGCUAGUGUUUUCUCCAUAAUUUUCCUGAAGUAUGCUCCCUUCUGGUUGGUUACUAGCCUUUUAUAAUUAGGGUUGAGCAGUUGUGUUACAUAACUUUGUGGCGAGACUUGAAAGAGUAGUAUAAUACCUGAUGAUAUGUUCAUGUA
This is a non-coding RNA of Nicotiana tabacum (common tobacco), 982 nucleotides long. NCBI's taxonomy places the organism in Eukaryota, Viridiplantae, Streptophyta, Magnoliopsida, Solanales, Solanaceae. The record is from RefSeq and is a predicted model, not a curated record.